This 433-nucleotide ribosomal RNA is filed under the name uncultured bacterium. Its description in RNAcentral is "partial 16S ribosomal RNA". It matches the Rfam family "Bacterial small subunit ribosomal RNA", at positions 29 to 507 of the family's 1533-position model. The record is from RNAcentral.
AACGAACGCUGGCGGCAUGCCUAACACAUGCAAGUCGAACGAGACCUCCGGGUCUAGUGGCGCACGGGUGCGUACCGCGGGGUAACCUGCCCUUAGGUUCGGAAUAACUCCCCGAAAGGUGUGCUAAUACCGGAUAAUGUCAUCGGACCAAAGAUCUAUCGCCUUUGGAUGGGCCCGCGUUGGAUUAGGUAGUUGGUAGGGUAAAAGCCUACCAAGGCGACGAUCCAUAGCUGGUCGGAGAGGAUGAUAAGCCACACUGGCACUGCGACACGGCCCAGACUCGUACGGGAGGCAGCAGUGGGUAAUAUUGGAGGAUGGGCGAAAGCCUAGUCAAGCAACGCGGCGUGAGUGAUGAAGGCCUUAGGGUUGUAAAGCUCUUUUAGCCGGGAUGAUAAUGACAGUACCGGGAGAAUAAGCUCCGGCUAACUCCGUG